GGUAAGAUGGCUGAGUAAGUGGGGGACUGUAAAUCCCUAUACGGAGGUGUAAGGCCUCCUCUUUCCA
This is a non-coding RNA of Monopterus albus (swamp eel), 67 nucleotides long. Lineage: Eukaryota; Metazoa; Chordata; Actinopteri; Synbranchiformes; Synbranchidae. The record is from Ensembl.